CCUUUAUAUUUUGUAGGAUGUUGAUGCUUACAUUCAUCAGAGUGGUAGAACUGGUAGAGCUGGUCGGAAUGGAACUUGUGUGAUGCUGUACAAACCGAACCAGGAAUUCAUGAUUAACCAAGUGGAAAGGAGAGCAAGGAUAUCUGUCCAAAGGGUUGGUGCUCCUCAAUCUUCCGACAUUGUCAAGGCCUCUGAUGAUGACACCAUUAAGACUAGUGUGUGGUGCUGCUGCGGUGGCGGUUGGUCGGUAGUGUAACGAGGUGGUCCGCUCGGGGCUAAACUGGUCAUUAUCUGAGGCUCUUACAUUCCUGACUGAGAGACAACUGCUCACUGAUGAUAAUACGAGGAUGUACUCACUCAUCAAACAACUUCACAUUUUGACUAGGAAGUAGGAGGAGCUCAACAAAACAUGGAUUUUUAAAAUAAAUUUGUAUUUUUAAUUUUAAACUAUAAUUAUGCUAUAUAAAGCAUAAUAUCUAUGAAUUAAGUUAUGAAAAAUAAAAAAUUAAUCCAAACUGUUUAAACUAAUUUAUAUGGCAUCCAGUUUUUCUACAAUCUGAUUCAUUGU
Long non-coding RNA from Amphimedon queenslandica, 568 nucleotides. RefSeq lists it as uncharacterized. The record is from RefSeq and is a predicted model, not a curated record. The transcript is spliced from 4 exons. NCBI's taxonomy places the organism in Eukaryota, Metazoa, Porifera, Demospongiae, Haplosclerida, Niphatidae.